AUUGAACGCUGGCGGAAUGCUUUACACAUGCAAGUCGAACGGCAGCACGGACUUCGGUCUGGUGGCGAGUGGCGAACGGGUGAGUAAUGUAUCGGAACGUGCCCAGUCGUGGGGGAUAACGUAGUGAAAAUUACGCUAAUACCGCAUACGAUCUAUGGAUGAAAGCGGGGGAUCGCAAGACCUCGCGCGAUUGGAGCGGCCGAUAUCAGAUUAGGUGGGUGGUGGGGUAAAGGCCCACCAAGCCAACGAUCUGUAGCUGGUCUGAGAGGACGCGCAGGCAGACUGGAACUGAGACACGGUCCAGACUCCUACGGGAGGCAGCAGUGGGGAAUUUUGGACAAUGGGCGAAAGCCUGAUCCAGCCAUUCCGCGUGCAGGAUGAAGGCCCUCGGGUUGUAAACUGCUUUUGUACAGAACGAAAAGGUUUCUACUAAUACUAGGAGCUCAUGACGGUACUGUAAGAAUAAGCACCGGCUAACUACGUGCCAGCCGCCGCGGUAA
RNAcentral lists this ribosomal RNA (500 nucleotides) under uncultured bacterium. RNAcentral's name for it is "partial 16S ribosomal RNA". It matches the Rfam family "Bacterial small subunit ribosomal RNA", at positions 30 to 523 of the family's 1533-position model. The record is from RNAcentral.